AUGUAUAAUAUUCAUCCAUGGAUGGAUGGAUCAGAUGGGACAGGUGAAGUUGGCGGGGCACUUCUUGCCGCACUGGUUGAGGAGGAGGGUCAGGUCGAUGGGCACGUUGAGCUUGAUGCCGAGAAUGUUGGCCCUGAUGGCGGUGCAGAGGCACACCGCGGCGUCGAGGUCGGCGAGCCCGCCCAGGAGCGGGCAACACUCCUCGUUCGCCGGCACGCCGAUCUUGAGCUUCAGCAGGUUCAACACAUUGGCGCACACACCCAGCUUCAGCGUGUUGAUCGGGCAGCUGCCCCCGCCGGUCGGUGGCACGAUUGGCGGUGA
This 321-nucleotide ribosomal RNA is filed under the name Triticum aestivum (bread wheat). Its description in RNAcentral is "partial small subunit ribosomal RNA". Lineage: Eukaryota; Viridiplantae; Streptophyta; Magnoliopsida; Poales; Poaceae. The record is from RNAcentral.